GAGAGAGAGAGAGAGAGAGAGAGAGAGAGAGAGAGAGAUGUCUGGGUGAAUGUUGCUGAUAGCAGAGCUGAGUGAAAGGACCUCAGACGCAUUAGAAAACUGAGACAAGAAUGGACCAAUCAAAGCCACACGUAGAUGUGUUCCACUACAGGAACAAGGAACAGUCCUCCUACCUCCUACUGCAGCUGAACCGUCUGAGACAGAACAGGAUCCUUACCGACGUGCUACUCUGUUCAGAUAACUCAGAGAUCCCCUGUCACCGUAACAUCCUGGCCUCCAGCAGUCCUUACUUCACGGCCAUGUUCUGUCACCACUUCAGAGAGACGAACCAGGAGAAGGUGGAUCUGAAGGCGAUCACCUCCAGCAUCCUGAGUGACAUCGUCGACUACGUCUACACAGGGGUCAUAACCAUCACCAUGGAGAUAGUACUGCCCCUUAUGCAGGCUUCCUCCAUGCUCCAGUACACCAGGCUGUUCGAGGCCUGCUCCUCAUUCCUGCAGGAGCAGCUGAGCCCAGACAACUGCCUCAGCAUGAAGCGACUGGCAGAGAUAUUACACUGCAACAGCCUGAAGGAGAAGGCCAGGGAGAUGGCAGUACAGAGCUUCUCUGACGUCUCUACCUCUGAGGACCUGUGUGAGCUCUCCUUACCUGAGCUGAUGGGUUACCUGGAGGAUGACUGGCUCUGUGCUAAGGAGGAGCAGGUGUUCGAGACGUUACUGGCGUGGAUCCACCACGACCCGUUCUCCCGGCGCGGCGCCAUCUCCGACCUCUUCAGGAAGGUGCGUCUGCGCUACAUCCACCCCACCUACCUGUUCCAGUUCAUCGCCAGCGACCCUCUCGUCCAGUCCUCCACCCUGUGCACCGAGGUCAUCGAGUCCGUCCGACGCCUCAUGUUCUCCAUCACUACUAAGUGUGGGUCGGACCUCAAGCCCCUGUGGGUGACCCCGCGGCGGUUCACCUGCCGGGAGACCCUGGUUCUAGUUGGCGGCCGCAAAAACAACGAACAGACGUCCCGCGAAGCACUCCUGUUCGACGAGAGGACUCAGCGCUGGCAGUGGCUGGCCAAGCUGCCCUUGCGACUCUAUAAGGCCUCCUACGUCUGUAUCCACAGUAUCCUGUAUGUCCUGGGAGGCCUCACCAUGAACACCAAGCACAGAGUGGUUAGCACCACUGUCUAUACGUUAUCUUUAAAGAUCAACCAGUGGAGGACGACUGAGCCCAUGAUCCAGCCUCGCUUCUCCCACCAGUCUGUCUCCUACCUGCACUUUAUCUUCGUCCUGGGGGGCCUGGGGCCGGAGAAGCAGGUGUGUGACACGGUACAAAGGUACAAUAGUAUGUUCAACCAAUGGGAGGCUAUGGUUCCCAUGCCGACGGCUGUGCUACACCCGGCGGUUGCCGCUAACGAUCAAAGAAUCUACAUGUUCGGGGGAGAGGACGCGAUGCAGAACCCUGUCAGGAUGAUACAGGUGUAUCACAUUGGCAGGAAUAUGUGGUCUAUGAUGGAGACCAGGACAGUGAAGAACGUUUCUGCACCAGCAGCUGUCAUCGAUGACAAGAUCUACAUUAUCGGAGGUAGGUGAAGACUGGGUCUGUCGAUGACAAGAUCUACAUUAUCGGAGGUAGGUGAAGACUGAGUCUGUCGAUGACAAGAUCUACAUUAUCGGAGGUAGGUGAAGACUGGGUCUGUCGAUGACAAGAUCUACAUUAUCGGAGGUAGGUGAAGACUGGGUCUGUCGAUGACAAGAUCUACAUUAUCGGAGGUAGGUGAAGACUGGGUCUGUCGAUGACAAGAUCUACAUUAUCGGAGGUAGGUGAAGACUGGGUCUGUCGAUGACAAGAUCUACAUUAUCGGAGGUAGGUAAAGACUGGGUCUGUCGAUGACAAGAUCUACAUUAUCGAAGGUAGGUGAAGACUGGGUCUGUCGAUGACAAGAUCUACAUUAUCGGAGGUAGGUGAAGACAGGGUCUGUCGAUGACAAGAUCUACAUUAUCGGAGGUAGGUGAAGACUGGGUCUGUCGAUGACAAGAUCUACAUUAUCGGAGGUAGGGGAAGACAGGGUCUGUCGAUGACAAGAUCUACAUUAUCGGAGGUAGGUGAAGACUGGGUCUGUCGAUGACAAGAUCUACAUUAUCGGAGGUAGGUGAAGACUGGGUCUGUCGAUGACAAGAUCUACAUUAUCGGAGGUAGGUGAAGACUGGGUAUGUCGAUGACAAGAGCUACAUUAUCGGAGGUAGGCGAAGACUGGGUCUGUCGAUGACAAGAUCUACAUUAUCUGAGGUAGGUGAAGACUGGGUAUGUCGAUGACAAGAUCUACAUUAUCGGAGGUAGGUGAAGACUGGGUCUGUCGAUGACAAGAUCUACAUUAUCGGAGGUAGGUGAAGACUGGGUCUGUCGAUGACAAGAGCUACAUUAUCGGAGGUAGGUGAAGACUGGGUCUGUCGAUGACAAGAUCUACAUUAUCGGAGGUAGGUGAAGACUGGGUAUGUCGAUGACAAGAUCUACAUUAUCGGAGGCUACACCAGAAGAAUGAUCGCGUACGACACCAAAGCCAACCGCUUUACAAAGUGUGAGAACCUGAAGCAGAGGAGGAUGCAUCACGCCGUCACGGUGCUCGACGAC
RNA transcript from Oncorhynchus kisutch (coho salmon), 2619 nucleotides. It is a transcript of the gene named kelch-like protein 38, with no coding region annotated. The record is from RefSeq and is a predicted model, not a curated record. The transcript has 8 exons. Lineage: Eukaryota; Metazoa; Chordata; Actinopteri; Salmoniformes; Salmonidae.